GCGGCUGUAAGCAAUUCUCAUUUCAGAGUCACCUGACAUUCCCGGGGGGGCCCUCCCUUUCCUGUUCAAGUAUGCCUAACUAGCCAGUCUAGGAGUUUAUGGCCUCUCUUUAUAUGGCAUGAAGAUAUUGUGGCUUGAUUGGCCUUAUUCCAGACCCUUGGAAGUCCAGGUGUCAAGAGUAGGGAAGGCCUUUUUCAGUAAGAACUUUGCAGUCUAGUGGAAAAAAACAGAGCUCCUCCUCUCAAAGAUUCUGGCAUAACAUGUGGAGCCCUGUCACCGGAUAAGAAGGCGCACUAUUCUAUCUCUCCAAUUCUACCCUUGGACCAAAAUCAGGCACAUGGACUCUUUCUGCCUUUGAAUGACUUCCUUCCCUUGUAUUUGAAUAACUUUCUGCCUUUGAAUAAUUUCUUUCCCUUGUAUUUGAGGCUACUUGAUAGAUUCUCUAGAUGAAUUCAGAUAGGACUUACUUUCAGAAUGAAUACAACUCAGGCUAUUAAUCUGUGACCUCAGAAUACAGAAAUUAUUAUCCCCAUCAUGUGGAUGAGGCAGCUCAGAGAAAUUGAAAAGCUCACCGCAGUCACCUGCCAAAUAAAUGGCAAAGCAAAGCUAUCUGAAGCGAGAUCUACCUGACCCCCUAAGCCCAUGCUCUCCCCUAGCACCAUCUGUGUCAUGUCUAAUGUACAGUUGUCUCAUGCUCUAAGAUUGUAGGGGUGCUGUGGUCACCUAGCAGCAAACCUUGCUGGCAAACAAGCACAGCUUAUAAGCAGAGAACUUCCUCUUUUUGAAGCCACCUCAAACUGCCUCUGGGAAGGAAUUCCCAUAGCUACUUGGAGGAGCCUAGGUCCUCAGGGCCUGCAUGAAAACUGGAGUGGACAUAGGACACAAGUUGUAAGCAGAGAAGACCUCACUUCAGAU
This 915-nucleotide long non-coding RNA is filed under the name Homo sapiens (human). RNAcentral describes it as "HSALNT0017553". Lineage: Eukaryota; Metazoa; Chordata; Mammalia; Primates; Hominidae. The record is from RNAcentral.